AAUCUCAUUACUAGAGGCUCUCACAGGGAAGACUGUUGACUUAAGAACCUUGGAUGGAAGGUAUCUUACUAUCCCAGUAACAGAUAUUAUCAAACCGAGCCAUGAGAUCGUGAUAUUGAAUGAAGGAAUGCCCAUCUCAAAAGAACCACACAAGAAAGGAAAACUUAGAAUCAAGUUUGAUGUGACAUUCCCAUCAAGACUGACUGCAGAACAGAAAUCUGAUCUCAAG
Molecule: unclassified non-coding RNA, 229 nt
Filed under: Hevea brasiliensis (rubber tree)
Lineage: Eukaryota; Viridiplantae; Streptophyta; Magnoliopsida; Malpighiales; Euphorbiaceae
Source: RNAcentral